GCCAGGUGCAGUGGUGAACACCUGUAAUCCCAAGGACUUGGGAGGCUGAGCCAGGAGGAUCCCAAGUUGAAAGCCAGCCUCAGCAACUCAGUGAGACCCCGUCUCUA
RNAcentral lists this small RNA (107 nucleotides) under Marmota monax (woodchuck). The record is from RNAcentral. Lineage: Eukaryota; Metazoa; Chordata; Mammalia; Rodentia; Sciuridae.